AAAAGCCCAGCGCUGAAUCCAUCGGCCACUGGUCGCUUGGAGUUGUAGCGUAUAGGUGCGGCUGUCCGUUCGUUUCGCGCACCCAAAGUCCCCUUGAGCGGGGCUACAGUCCGAAGAAGGUGCUAGACCUGUACGGGUGGCGAGACGAUCGGUUGGUCGCUCCUUGGAGUCGGGUUGCCUGGGAUCGCAGCCCAAAGUUGGUGGUAGACCUCAUCUAAGGCUAAAUAUGGCCACGAAACCGAUAGCAAACAAGUACCGUGAGGGAAAGUUGCAAAGAACUUUGAAGAGAGAGUUCAAGAGGGCGUGAAACCGCUGAGAUGGAAACGGAUAGAGUUGACGGAGCUCUGCUGCAUUCACCCGAUCGGCCCAGCGGUCCGACGGCUUUGACUUCCUCGAUGAGGGCAAGGCUGCUGGUAGCUGUUGGGUAUUUGAUCGGUGUAUUUGCGGCUGGUAUGCGCUGAGGGCUUUGUGAGCGCAUGUCGACGGGCGUGGAGUGGACCAUACCUUUCCGGUGUGGAACCCUUCGCGCUCUUAGGCAUGUCGCUUGUAAAGUUUUAAGUGCCGUCUCCGCUAUGGUGCAUCGGCUUUGUCGAGCUGUUGUGGCUUCAGGCUGGUCGCAUGCGACCGUCGGUCGUCGUCAAUGGCGCGCCAAAGCACAGAUGCGCCGAGAUGUGCACCUCGGUGUGAACGUUGACCACCUAUCCGACCCGUCUUGAAACACGGACCAAGGAGUUUAGCAUAUGCGCGAGUCAUUGGGUGGAAAACCUAAAGGCGUAAUGAAAGUAAAAGCCGUCUCGAUACGGCCGAUAUGGGAUCCGCAUGGCUUCCGAGUCGUGCGGCGCACCAUAGCCCCGUCCCCGUUGCUUGCAAUAGGGCGGAGGUAGAGCGCAUACGCUGAGACCCGAAAGAUGGUGAACUAUGCCUGAGCAGGAUGAAGCCAGAGGAAACUCUGGUGGAAGUCCGAAGCGGUUCUGACGUGC
Molecule: ribosomal RNA, 980 nt
Filed under: Contracaecum radiatum
Lineage: Eukaryota; Metazoa; Nematoda; Chromadorea; Rhabditida; Anisakidae
Description: LSU rRNA
Rfam family: Eukaryotic large subunit ribosomal RNA
Source: RNAcentral